This 586-nucleotide ribosomal RNA is filed under the name uncultured bacterium. Its description in RNAcentral is "bacterial SSU rRNA". It matches the Rfam family "Bacterial small subunit ribosomal RNA", at positions 338 to 939 of the family's 1533-position model. The record is from RNAcentral.
CCUACGGGAGGCAGCAGUGGGGAAUAUUGGACAAUGGGCGAAAGCCUGAUCCAGCAAUGCCGCGUGAGUGAUGAAGGCCUUAGGGUCGUAAAGCUCUUUUACCAGGGAUGAUAAUGACAGUACCUGGAGAAUAAGCUCCGGCUAACUCCGUGCCAGCAGCCGCGGUAAUACGGAGGGAGCUAGCGUUGUUCGGAAUUACUGGGCGUAAAGCGUGCGUAGGCGGUUAUUCAAGUCAGAGGUGAAAGCCCGGGGCUCAACCCCGGAACGGCCUUUGAAACUAGAUAACUAGAAUCUUGGAGAGGUCAGUGGAAUUCCGAGUGUAGAGGUGAAAUUCGUAGAUAUUCGGAAGAACACCAGUGGCGAAGGCGACUGACUGGACAAGUAUUGACGCUGAGGUACGAAAGCGUGGGGAGCAAACAGGAUUAGAUACCCUGGUAGUCCACGCCGUAAACGAUGAUAACUAGCUGUCCGGACACUUGGUGUUUGGGUGGCGCAGCUAACGCAUUAAGUUAUCCGCCUGGGGAGUACGGUCGCAAGAUUAAAACUCAAAUGAUGAGNGUGAGAGNGCGAGACGACACGAGGAGAG